RNAcentral lists this ribosomal RNA (253 nucleotides) under uncultured bacterium. Its description in RNAcentral is "partial 16S ribosomal RNA". It matches the Rfam family "Bacterial small subunit ribosomal RNA", at positions 524 to 776 of the family's 1533-position model. The record is from RNAcentral.
UACAGAGGGUGCGAGCGUUAAUCGGAAUUACUGGGCGUAAAGCGCGCGUAGGCGGCUUUGCAAGUCGGGUGUGAAAUCCCCAGGCUCAACCUGGGAACUGCAUUCGAGACUGCAUUGCUAGAGUAUGGGAGAGGGAAGUGGAAUUUCCGGUGUAGCGGUGAAAUGCGUAGAUAUCGGAAGGAACAUCAGUGGCGAAAGCGACUUCCUGGACCAAUACUGACGCUCAUGUGCGAAAGCGUGGGUAGCAAACAGG